Neopsephotus bourkii (Bourke's parrot) is the source of this 997-nucleotide long non-coding RNA. RefSeq lists it as uncharacterized. The record is from RefSeq and is a predicted model, not a curated record. Lineage: Eukaryota; Metazoa; Chordata; Aves; Psittaciformes; Psittacidae. The transcript has 4 exons.
UGAGCAAGGUGAAACAAAGUGUUCAUCCUUCUUAGAGAAGGUAGCUCCUCCAGUGGGUCUGGCCCAUUGAUGGGGUACCAUGUUGCUGGGAAAAUGAAUGGAGAGCAUCGGUUGGUGCACAAAGAGAACAUUCUGGGUGUGGGAAUUGGAUGAUGUCAACCCAGAACAGGGAUUAGGAGGCAAUUUCUGGCAAAAUGGAAAAUAAUGUAAGAAAGAAUCCAUACUAUACCCCAAAGCAGUGUAAGUGGUUGUGCUGGGUAAAGCCAGAACGUUUGGUUUGGCCUGAAAGGGUUUUGGUUUGUUAUGUUUGGGGGUUGCCUGAUUUUAAUGAGAUCUCUUCAUUUACAUGGGGGUCACUUUUUGAACUGAAAAAAGACAGAUUUGGGGGAAUGAGAAAAUCAAAAUGAUUCUUUUAGAAAAUGCCCAAAUACAACAAUUCAUCCUGAGAGGGGGAAUGAGAUAGCCUGAGAUCUUCAAAGCCUCCUCCCCUGCCCAACGCAGUGCUACAGCAGCGGAUGUGAAGCAGGACAAGGGGAAGGUCUACCAAGUGUCUGAGCCCCGAACUUCCCACCACUGCCAUCCAGUCUGUGCUGAAAAAUCCUUGGGAAUUACCAGCACCCACACUUGUUGGAAGCUCAGCAUCCUCCAUGGCUGGAGCAUUGCAAGCCCUGGGUGCAAGGUCCCCUUGCUGGAGAUGGAGACACCACCCCAAGAUGCAGAAGUGAUGCCGCUGUAACAGCCUGUGAUGGAGCUCAGCACCGUGGUGCUGGGAGCCGAGGGCACUGCUGCAGCAGGAGGGUGAUGGGAGAUGUGAUCAUCACCAGGAAACAGCAUUGGCUCUGCAGACACACCAUGGCCAACCAAGGGUGGGCGAAACCUCCUUGGGGAGCAGCUUUGGAGCUGACAUAAGCACCAGGACUUCAUCACCUUGAGAUGCUGAGCACCGGGAUGCUGAGCUCUGGGAUGCUGAGCCCAGGGAUGCUGAGCUGCAGGAUGC